RNAcentral lists this ribosomal RNA (449 nucleotides) under uncultured bacterium. RNAcentral describes it as "partial 16S ribosomal RNA". It matches the Rfam family "Bacterial small subunit ribosomal RNA", at positions 328 to 794 of the family's 1533-position model. The record is from RNAcentral.
UUGCCAGACUCCUACGGGAGGCAGCAGUGGGGGAUAUUGCACAAUGGGGGAAACCCUGAUGCAGCGACGCCGCGUGAGUGAAGAAGUAUUUCGGUAUGUAAAGCUCUAUCAGCAGGAAAGAAAGUGACGGUACCUGACUAAGAAGCCCCGGCUAACUACGUGCCAGCAGCCGCGGUAAUACGUAGGGGGCAAGCGUUAUCCGGAUUUACUGGGUGUAAAGGGAGCGUAGACGGCGGUGCAAGCCAGAUGUGAAAGCCCGGGGCUCAACCCCGGGACUGCAUUUGGAACUGUGCUGCUAGAGUGUCGGAGAGGCAGGCGGAAUUCCUAGUGUAGCGGUGAAAUGCGUAGAUAUUAGGAGGAACACCAGUGGCGAAGGCGGCCUGCUGGACGAUGACUGACGUUGAGGCUCGAAAGCGUGGGGAGCAAACAGGAUUAGAUACCCGAGUAGA